UCCUAAUGAUGACUUGCCAUGCUAAUACCGAGAAAGUUUGAGACUUUCACUGAGUUCAAAGAAUCUUUUUCUGAACAAUUAAAAAAC
Molecule: non-coding RNA, 87 nt
Organism: Papilio machaon (common yellow swallowtail)
Lineage: Eukaryota; Metazoa; Arthropoda; Insecta; Lepidoptera; Papilionidae
Source: Rfam